Molecule: ribosomal RNA, 497 nt
Filed under: uncultured bacterium
Lineage: Bacteria
Description: partial 16S ribosomal RNA
Rfam family: Bacterial small subunit ribosomal RNA
Source: RNAcentral
GAUGAACGCUGGCGGCGUGCCUAAUACAUGCAAGUCGAGCGAACGGACGAGAAGCUUGCUUCUCUGAGGUUAGCGGCGGACGGGUGGGUAACGCGUGGAUAACCUACCUCUAUUACUGGGAUAACUUCGGGAAACCAGAGAUAAUACCGGAGAAUAUUUUGAACCGCAUGGUUCAAAAGUGAAAGACGGUCUUGCUGUCACUUAUAGAUGGAUCCACACUGGAUUAGCUAGUUGGUAAGGUAACGGCUUACCAAGGCAACGAUGCAUAGCCGACCUGAGAGGAUGAUCGGCCACACUGGAACUGAGACACGGUCCAGACUCCUACGGGAGGCAGCAGUAGGGAAUCUUGCGCAAUGGGCGAAAGCCUGACGGAGCAACGCCGCGUGAGUGAUGAAGGUCUUCGGAUCGUAAAACUCUGUUAUUGGGGAAGAACAUAUGUGUAAGUAAAUGUGCACAUCUUGACGGUACCUAAUCAGAAAGCCACGGCUAACUACGUG